Molecule: small RNA, 329 nt
Filed under: Drosophila mojavensis
Lineage: Eukaryota; Metazoa; Arthropoda; Insecta; Diptera; Drosophilidae
Description: GI26756
Source: RNAcentral
GCCGCUUAGCAGGUAGGUUUAUUAGCAUCUCCAGGGACAGUUGAAAGCCUCGUUGAUCAUUUUCGUUGGAUUUUUGGCCGCUUUGCAGGUAGGUUUAUUAGCGCAUCCAGGGACAUUUGAAAGCAUUGCUGAUCAUCUUCGUUGGAUUUUUGGCCGCUUAGCAGGUGAGUGUAUGUUGUGAACUUUUGCUGGUUUCUAUUUAGCUACUAAUUAGAUGAUUCUUUUUACUUUUCUCAUUUCAGGUAGGUUUAUUAGCAUCUCCAGGGACAGUUGAAAGCCUCGUUGAUCAUUUUCGUUGGAUUUUUGGCCGCUUUGCAGGUGAGUGUAUA